RNAcentral lists this ribosomal RNA (253 nucleotides) under uncultured bacterium. RNAcentral describes it as "partial 16S ribosomal RNA". It matches the Rfam family "Bacterial small subunit ribosomal RNA", at positions 524 to 776 of the family's 1533-position model. The record is from RNAcentral.
GACGUAGGAUGCAAGCGUUGUCCGGAAUUAUUGGGCGUAAAGCGUUCGUAGGCGGUACGUUAAGUCUAGUGUUAAAGCCCGGGGCUCAACUCCGGAUCGGCACUGGAUACUGGCGAACUAGAGUGCGGUAGAGGCAAGGGGAAUUCCAGGUGUAGCGGUGAAAUGCGUAGAUAUCUGGAGGAACACCAGUGGCGUAAGCGCCUUGCUGGGCCGUAACUGACGCUGAGGAACGAAAGCCGGGGGAGCAAAUGGG